UGUUUGUCAAUUUUUCGAGUGCUUAUUUGACAGGUACCUUUUAUUUUUUAAAAUUUUUGUCACCUUUUUACAGCCAACACAUUUUGUAGUAUAAAAUAAAUACUUUGCUGUAGAAAAGUCCAAAUUACAGGCUAUUUUAUUCUAUAAAAGUUAGACUUUUAGUUCUAAAACAUAUCCGAAAUUUAGAAUUAGAAUCUUCGUGGAUCACCUUAGGUGAUUUUUCGAAGUUAGCCUUAAUUUCUGUCAUGUUGAUAUUUUCAGAUUUGUACGACUUUACCAAAAGUUCUAUAUCUUGAUGUAGGUAUCUCAGAAUCACAAACCGUUUGAUUUAUCAGAAAUUAGAAUUCAAGAUCUAUAACAUAUUCGAAUUUCAGAAUUAAAUACUUUCAGGAUCGUUCUAGAUAAGUUUUUGAAGUCGGCUCUAUAUUCUAACGCGCCAUCAGUUUCAGAUUUGUGCGAUUUCACCAAAAAUUUUAUAUCUUGAUGUAGGAACCUCGGAAUUGCAAACCGUUUGAUUUCUUAGAAACUAGAGUUCAAGAUCUACAACAUAUCCGGAUUUUAGAAUUAAACACUUUCAGUAUCUUUAUAGAUAUGUUUUUGAAUUCGACUCUAUAUUCUAACGCGCCAACAGUUUCAGAUUAUCGUGGCUUCACCAAAACUUUUAUAUCUCGUGUUAGAAUGUCGGAAUUAAAAAUUAUUUAUUGAUAGAAAUUAGACUCAGAGUGCUUCGUUCUCACCAAAAAUCAUGCCCCGAAUCAUGCCAGAUUAUUCUAGGCAACACUUUAAACUUAAUUUUCGAAUCUGACAUGCCUUAGUAGGUAACUAUCUUUCUUGUACUUGUAUUUUUUUUUGCUGCCUUCUUUUUGUUAUUGUAGGCAAUAAAGAUAUCUUCGUCAACAAGGUUAGAUGCACAUAGAAGGAAAAAUUCAUGGCAACAAAUAGAAGGACAAAUCUUCAACAUUAUAUGGGAGGACAAAUCCAUGACGGUAUAUGGAAGGACAAAUCUAUGACAACAUAUAGAAGUAUCAAAUCCAUGACAACAUAUAGAAGUAUCAAAUCCAUGAAGAGGCCAACUUAAGGUGUAAAGGGACUUAAACGUCCACCUUAAGAUUGAAAAAUUAUAGUUCCUUUUAAGGACAAACCUACGAAGAGGUCAACUUAAGGUGCAAAGGGACUUUAACGUCCACCUUAAGAUUGGAAAAUUAGAAAACUUCAACUUGAAGACUUGUCGGACUUUGCAGAUUUCAACUUGAAGACUAACAAAUUUGAAGAUUUGACAGACUUGAAAAUUUGGUGGAUUUUGAUGCUUCAACUUGAAGAGCAGUGGACUUUUAAACUUCAACUUGAAAAAUUAGCAGAAUUGAAGACUUCAGCUUUAAGACUUAUAGGGCUUAAAUAAUUCAACUUGAAUACCGACGAACUUGAGGGCUUCAAAUUGAAGACCGACGGACAUGAAGACUUAGAGGGAUUGAAUACUUCAACUUAAAGUUUAGCCGCAUUGCAGACUUCAACUUGAAGGGCGGUGGACUUGCAAAAUUCAACUUGAAGAGCGACAUACUUGAAGAUUUGGAGGGCUUAUAUAAUUCAACUUGAAGACCGACGAACUUGAGGACUUCAAAUUAAAGAUUUGGCCUUCUACUAAAAGUCUACAUCCAUCUAUUGGAGAUGCCAAUUUGCUAUGGAGGCUUGCCCUCAUUGAACCAUCAAUCUUUGAUAAGGCACAAAGUUCAUGUAAGCUCGAUUUUUAAGUUCCAAUCAAGUGGAAUAUAUUCCAUCAUUCUUACUUCGAAUAACGAUUGGGGUAAUAUGUAUAUUUUGAACUCAUGCGACUGAACUUAGAAUGAAACUCUAAGCUGCCUACAUAUAUCGGUGAAGAGGAUUAAGUCAUUCUGUAGUUCAGAAUGUGUGAGUUUUUUUUAUUAUUUUAUGUCCUAACCUUUGCCUAGACUGCCUCUUUCGAGGUUUUUUAUAUUUGGGUCGUACACAGUUUAUACUCUUGCAGGCCAGGAGUAUAGGAAUAUGCAAUUUAGGCUCGUGCGUCAUGGAGCGUAGCGACUUGCAUUUUAAACUCGUGUUUUGAUGAGCUUUGCAACUUGAAGAUUUUGCUCGAAUUUGAAGAUCUUUAUGACCUGUAGUUUAGGCUCGUGCGUCCAGGAGCGUUGUAAUUUGAAGAUUUAGCUUACAAUUCGAAAUGGUUCGUUACUUUAAGACUUGCUCAAUUUUGAAGAGUUUUGCAACUUGAAGUUCCACUCGAAUUUGAAGAGCUUCGUGACUUGAAGAUUUAUCUCAAAAUUGAAGAGUUUUGCAACUUGAACACUUUUCUCGACUUUGAAGAGAUUUACAACUUGAAGACUUUGCCAAAUUUGAAGAGCUUUACAUCUUGAAGUUUGUCUCGAAUUUGAAUAACUUUGCGAUUUGAAGUCCUUUCUCGACUUUGAAGAGCUUUCGACUUGAGUCUUUGCUCGUAUUUGAAGAGCUUAGCGACUUGAACACUUUGCCCAAAUUUGAAGAGCUUUACAACUUGAAGACUUUGCUCAAAUUUGAAGAGCUUUGCGACUUGAACACUUUACCCAAAUUUGAAGAGCUUUACAACUUGAAGACUUUGCUCGAAUUUGAAAAGCUUUACGCCUUAAAAGGAUUUAAUUCAAAAUUGGGGAGCUUCGUGACAUACAAUAUAUACUCAUGUACUAAGAAGCAUUAUAACUUGCAGUUUAGGCUCGUGCGUUGAGGAGCAUUAUAACUUUCAGCUUAGGUUCAUACGUCACAGAGCAUUAUAACUUACAGUUUAGGCUCAUGCGUUAAGGAGCAUUGCAACGUGCAGUUUAGGCUCAUGCGUCACGGAGCAUUAUAACUUGCAGUUUAGGCUCAUGCGUUAAGGAGCAUUACGACUUGCAGUCUAGGCUCAUGCGUCAAGGAGCAUAGCAAUAUGCCUGGACUCUUCAGUUUUAUCUUCGGAUGAAUACUUGCCCCCAUUCUCAGCAUCCUCUGCUUCUAUUUCAUAAUAAGGCUCAAAGCCAGGAAACCUUUGAUAUCCUCUUAUAGCCAUACUCAAUUCCAUAUCAUGGGCACGAGUUGCAAGUUCUUCAAAUGUACUAGACUUGAUACCUUGCAAGAUAUAACGAAGAUUCCAGUGCAUGCCUUGAAUGCACAUUUCAAUGCCAAAAGUUUCGCUAAGGCAAUCUUUGCAGUUAAGGCUUAAGCUCCUCCAGCGGUUGAUGAAGUCAAUAACUGGCUCAUCCUUUCCUUGAUGAGUGUUUGUAAGUUCGAUCAUGCUUACGAUGCCUCUUGUGCUAUAGAAACGAUUGAGAAACUCUUGCUCCAACUGCUCCCAACUAUCGAUAGACUCAGGUUCGAGAUCUAUGUACCAAUCG
This 3371-nucleotide long non-coding RNA is filed under the name Nicotiana tabacum (common tobacco). RNAcentral describes it as "long non-coding RNA (NTAB_LNC002125)". Lineage: Eukaryota; Viridiplantae; Streptophyta; Magnoliopsida; Solanales; Solanaceae. The record is from RNAcentral.